GUGGACGUAGCUCAAUAGGUAGAGCCCCGGGUUGUGAUCCCGGUGGUUGCGGGUUCGAAGCCCGUCGUUCACCCCA
This 76-nucleotide transfer RNA is filed under the name Gammaproteobacteria bacterium. RNAcentral describes it as "tRNA-His". It matches the Rfam family "tRNA". Rfam says of the family: Transfer RNA (tRNA) molecules are approximately 80 nucleotides in length. Their secondary structure includes four short double-helical elements and three loops (D, anti-codon, and T loops). Lineage: Bacteria; Pseudomonadati; Pseudomonadota; Gammaproteobacteria. The record is from RNAcentral.